UUGACUGUACAAAGGUAGCAUAAUCAUUAGUCUUUUAAUAGAGGGCUGGAAUGAAAGGUUUAACGAGGAACUGACUGUCUCAUUUUAUUUGUUUUAAAAUUUAAUUUUUUAGUUAAAAAGCUAAAAUUUUAUUGGUAGACGAGAAGACCCUAUAGAGCUUUACAUUUAAUUAUAUAAAUAUUUUUAUAUUAAUAUUUUUAUUUAAUUAUGUGUUUUGUUGGGGUGACAAAAAUAUAUAAUUAACUUUUUUAUUUAAUUAACCAUUGAUUUAUGAUUAUUAGAUCCAUUAUUAUUGAUUAUUAGAUUAAGUUACCUUAGGGAUAACAGUGUAAUAU
Molecule: ribosomal RNA, 335 nt
Filed under: Orthetrum luzonicum
Lineage: Eukaryota; Metazoa; Arthropoda; Insecta; Odonata; Libellulidae
Description: partial 16S ribosomal RNA
Source: RNAcentral